This 253-nucleotide ribosomal RNA is filed under the name uncultured bacterium. RNAcentral's name for it is "partial 16S ribosomal RNA". It matches the Rfam family "Bacterial small subunit ribosomal RNA", at positions 524 to 776 of the family's 1533-position model. The record is from RNAcentral.
UACGAAGGGGGCUAGCGUUGCUCGGAUUGACUGGGCGUAAAGGGCGCGUAGGCGGCGGACACAGUCAGACGUGAAAUUCCUGGGCUCAACCUGGGGGCUGCGUUUGAUACAUGUCUGCUUGAGUUCGGAAGAGGGUCGUGGAAUUCCCAGUGUAGAGGUGAAAUUCGUAGAUAUUGGGAAGAACACCGGUGGCGAAGGCGGCGACCUGGUCCGAUACUGACGCUGAGGAGCGAAAGCGUGAGGAGCGAACAGG